GCGGUUCUGCGCGUCGCGUGAGGAGCCUUGCAUCCCCGGGGCCUUAUCGAUCCUAACGGGAGCUGUCCCCGCCUUGGCUCGUGGGCCUUGGCAUACGGCGCCCACCUACAUGUGUAGGUUUCCCGGGAUCGAAUUGCUCCCACGGACGGGUGGUCCGCC
This 159-nucleotide non-coding RNA is filed under the name Rhodobiaceae bacterium. RNAcentral describes it as "6S RNA". It matches the Rfam family "6S / SsrS RNA". Rfam says of the family: E. coli 6S RNA was the first non coding RNA to be sequenced, but its function was unknown until recently. It consists of 184 nucleotides that fold into an extended hairpin structure with a large single-stranded internal bulge. Lineage: Bacteria; Pseudomonadati; Pseudomonadota; Alphaproteobacteria; Hyphomicrobiales; Rhodobiaceae. The record is from RNAcentral.